CGCAUGCUGCGGGGUGCGUGAUACGACCUUAUCCCGGAGGCCGAUGCUUUCUCGCAUAGGGAGCUGUCCCUGUCCUUGUCCAACUGUUUUGCCAGUAGGCCUUGGAUACUUACGGCGCCCACCUGUUUUACCAGGGCCCCGCGAGGAUACUACGCGUACACGGCCCACGCGGCACUUUU
RNAcentral lists this non-coding RNA (179 nucleotides) under Alphaproteobacteria bacterium. Its description in RNAcentral is "6S RNA". It matches the Rfam family "6S / SsrS RNA". Rfam says of the family: E. coli 6S RNA was the first non coding RNA to be sequenced, but its function was unknown until recently. Lineage: Bacteria; Pseudomonadati; Pseudomonadota; Alphaproteobacteria. The record is from RNAcentral.